This 424-nucleotide ribosomal RNA is filed under the name uncultured bacterium. RNAcentral's name for it is "bacterial LSU rRNA". It matches the Rfam family "Bacterial large subunit ribosomal RNA", at positions 803 to 1232 of the family's 2925-position model. The record is from RNAcentral.
GAUGAGCUGUGGAUAGGGGUGAAAGGCUAAACAAAUCCGGAAAUAGCUGGUUCUCCCCGAAAACUAUUUAGGUAGUGCGUCUUAUAUCACUGACGGGGGUAAAGCACUGUUAUGGCUAGGGGGUCAUCGCGACUUACCAAACCAUGGCAAACUCUGAAUACCGUCAAGUGCGAGUAAGGCAGACAGACAGUGGGUGCUAACGUCCAUUGUCAAGAGGGAAACAACCCAGACCGCCAGCUAAGGUCCCCAAGACACAGUUAAGUGGGAAACGAAGUGGGAAGGCAUAGACAGCUAGGAAGUUGGCUUAGAAGCAGCCAUCCUUUAAAGAAAGCGUAAUAGCUCACUAGUCGAGUCGUCCUGCGCGGAAGAUGUAACGGGGCUCAAACUGUGCACCGAAGCUGCGGAUAUCGAAAGAUAUGGUAGG